This 1729-nucleotide long non-coding RNA is filed under the name Cricetulus griseus (Chinese hamster). Its description in RNAcentral is "lncRNA (ENSCGRG00015030777.1)". Lineage: Eukaryota; Metazoa; Chordata; Mammalia; Rodentia; Cricetidae. The record is from RNAcentral.
GUUUAUUUAAAAAAUGAAAUAUAUAGAAAUUAAAUGUUUUAUGGCACCUACUUAUAACAAUCAAGGUAAUAAUCUAAUUGCAGCCCCCUCCCUCCAAAAAAAAAGUCAGUAGAUCUUCUAUGCUCCCUGCAAGCUCGGUUGGAAAGUGAAGCAAUUAUCUGGAUAAUUCAGUCCAAAAAAAAAAAGUAUUAAAGGAGUAGUGGGGGUGGGCUUUUCCUGUCCCCAAUUCACUGGAGCCAUCCACUAACAUGACCCACUGUGGUGGAAUUUGGCAUUAAAAAGGCUUGUGUUGGACCCUGUCCAGUGGCGUUUAGUUACUGGAUUCUUUGAAGGACAUUGUGCAAACAUGGUCUCCCAUGUAACUUGGGUCUAAGACCUGGGUUUUAAGAACCUUGAUCUUACCACGCAGCUCCGCUGGAUCGAAUUAUCCAGACGCUUCCAUCAUCCCACUUCCUGUUGCCGGGUUUAACAAUGACAGUGUGUAUUGCCACCACUUCCGCGUGAAUGCUUGGAUCCUGCAAGCAGAAACAGCUGGGUGAAAGGUGGCCGCCCUUUGCUGCUGACUCUUCGCUCUCUAGCCCGAGCAUCUGCACUGAGUCGCUGGGAUAAUUGUGUUGAUUUGACUAAUGGUAGAAACGAAGGUGGGAUGGCUCCCCAUCUCAAACCCGGAGUCCUGCUUUUUCUGCAAGAGCAACCAUGCUGGGGAAAUAGCAGCAUCGCUUCUGUUUGAUCUGCUCGUGCUUCCUAACCACGCCUAAGCAGAGGCUUCUGUAAAAGGACCCUGAACCAACUAGAGUUGAUGAAGUUUAACACUAGAAGACUAAGUGUCUUCAUGGACAUCACACAGCAAGCCAGUGGCAGAGCCCGGAACCGGCUCAGCUCAUCUCCUCUCCCGCUGAAAGAGGCAGCUAAAAUCACAGAAAUUGCAGGGUCAAGAUUUACACCUCAUACAUCAGAUAUACAAAAAAACAGUAGCUUAUUUAUUUUAUAUUACUGAUGCAAUCUCACUCAAAAACCUUCGUUUCGACAGAUGUCAGAAAUAACUAAAACUUGGCAAGUAGCAGUUCCUUCUGAGGGAAAAGAGGAGGGAAGUUGACUAAAUUCGACUUUGCAACCCACAAGCAAAGCUGAUCCUGUCUCCUCGGAAUUUCCUGUCACCUCUUCUUCCUCCCCAAAUGCUCUCUGGAUAAUGAGAAGUCCGGGGAUGCUCUCAGAGGCCCAUUUGCACCCUCUGCAGGCUCUUCCCCUGGACCUCCCUGCCAUCUUUGGGCCUCUGCUCUCCCAUGAGCUGUGCUGUCCGCAGCUGGAGUCAUUUGCGGUCUGUUUCUCUCAGCGUGGGCAAUCUAUGGUGAUAGCUCCCAGGGAGCUGGGCCAUCUCUCCUGUGAAAGUUCUACCCUGGGGUGCCAGCGCUGUGGGAAAGCCUGCAACUGCUGUUUAGGAAGACCUUAGAAGACCUUCUUUAUCGGGAACUCACCAAGUUAGGACUGAAGACAAUCGCAGACAUGAGUCCCUUAACUUUUUCUUGGGGCAGAAAAUUAAAAGCAGACACAUAAUUACUUUGAAAAGUAAGUCUCUUCUUGAAGGCAGAAGAGUAAAAUCACUGAUGCCAUCCCCCUCCCAAUAACAAAAAUAGAAGGGGGGGACACCCUCUCGGCAUCAUGGAUGAAAUAGAGAAAUCUCUCUAAUUCCAAACCACAAACUAGGAAAAGUGCCUGCCAAAUAUUGCUG